GCGCUAAACUAGUGGAUUUCAUCAGCAUUUCAAAAUCCGUCUCGCCAUCUUCUUCCCUGCGAAAACCCCCUCCGCCGGCGGCCCGCAUCACCGCGUCCGCCAUUCCCACCCUCCACCUCCCCCUCCCUUUCCCCGAACAACCAGACCCCACUUGCACCGUGGCGGCAUCAGCAUUCUCUCCUCCCCAAGUCAAGUCUUCUCAAAAAACCCCAAUCCAACCACCGGCCAGGGCGGAAACCGUCGCACUUUAUUUAUACCCGGCCACGCGCUCCACCACGGCGACCCCGACGGCUCCCCCCUCCCCUCCGCCCGCUCCUAGCUCUAAGCGCCGCCGGAAGACUGACCCCGCCGCCGGAGCCACGGGGAACUCGCCGCUGCGCGGCGGCGGGAGAGGCCGCUCGCCGGCCUCCUCCGCCCCGCGCCGCUCUUCGCCUGGGCUUACAGGGCCGCAGGGAGGGUUUGACCCGCUCGACCCCAACGCGGAUCCGCCGGCCCGGGUCCUGAUGCCGGAUCAGGUGAAGCACUGCAAGACGGCGCUCAAGGUGCUCGACAAAACGCUCAAGAAGCCGGCCGCAAUAUUUGACGACUUUAGAGGCCUUCCGGCCAUAAGAACAUCGCUCCAGUUGGCUCAGAAGUUUACUGUGGCUCGAAGUCCUGCUAAUAGGGAAAGGAACCGCUACACUGAUGUCUUGCCAUUUGAUGAAACCAGGAUAAAGCUACAGUCCUCAACAGGCAAUCAGACUUCAAGUAAUGAUUACAUCAAUGCAAGCCUUAUAAAGUAUGAUGACAAAGAUCAGACAAAGUUCAUUUCUACUCAAGGUCCGCUAGUGAAUACAUUCGAAGACUUUUGGCAGAUGGUCUUUGAGAACAGCUGUCCUGUAAUUGUCAUGCUCACUAAAUUUGACAUUGUUAAGUGUGAUGAGUAUCUUCCACUGAGCAAGGGGCAAGGAGACUAUGGAAGAUUGAACAUUAAAAUCAUGGAGACCAGACAAGAUGGGGAAUUAACAUUGCGCAGUGUGAAGGUGCAACAUAACGAGUCAGAUAGAGUGCAUACUGUUCUCCACAUCCAGCACUCCACUUGGCCUGACCAUGGUGUGCCAGAUGACAGCAGUACUGUACGGAAGAUUCUAAAAAGAUUAUAUUACAUUCCUAAAGAGCACCCAGUUGUUGCACAUUGCAGUGCAGGCAUUGGGAGAACUGGUGCUUACAUCACAAUCCAUAAUACAGUAGAGAGGAUAUUACGUGGUGAACAAGCUGCUACAAAUCUUGUGGAAACUGUCGGGAAGUUUAGAUCCCAGAGACCUGGCAUGGUCCAAACAGAGGAACAAUACAAGUUCUGCUAUCAUGCAAUUGCGGAUGAGCUGAAAGAUCUGAUUAGGAAUUCGAAGCGCUGAAGCAUUUUCGGCGGUAAGCUUGAUGCAGAAACAUGUAUGAAAUACCACCGUGAUAAUGGGUAAUUGUGAGUCAUAUGUAACGGCCUGACGUAUCUGACCAUCUAUCACCUUCUCACUUCCUCAAUUUGUUAAGCUUAGCCGACAUCAUUGUUGUAUAUCACGAAGACUGGAAUUCGAAUUUCAGCCGGAAGCUCUCGGAGACACUUUCCUUUUUCUUUUCUGAUCAGGAUUUCACCAAUUUGAUCGUGUCGGCUGGCUCACAUCCAGAAUCACGUGGGUACCCGCUAUGCAUUCACCUGCGUUGCUUCUCUUGCUGAAUUGUUAUGUGCUGAGGCCAGAAGGUUGACAUAUCAACUGGUGCAUUACCACCUUAGCUUGCGUGGGUUGAUGACAGAUGUAUGAACUCAGAUGUCUACCAAAGUUUGACGCGGACGUAUCUAGAAAUGGAGAUUGAAGCUGCAUAAGCCAUUCUAUCUCCGUUUCUUGAUACGCCUCUUGUUUGUUUCUGUCCAGUUCUUGAUGCCGCUUCUGAAACUCAAGGCCAGAAUCAAAGCAUAUGGCCGUCCAUAUUUGUAUGUCCCGAGAAAAAAAAACAUGUAGGCUAUCCCUGUUUCAUUCACCAAAAGGGAUAGCAUUUUUAUCCA
RNA transcript from Triticum aestivum (bread wheat), 2038 nucleotides. It is a transcript of the gene named protein-tyrosine-phosphatase PTP1, with no coding region annotated. The record is from RefSeq and is a predicted model, not a curated record. Lineage: Eukaryota; Viridiplantae; Streptophyta; Magnoliopsida; Poales; Poaceae. The transcript has 9 exons.